GAGUCCCAGAUUCAUCCGAUGACGGGCGCACUUAUUAGAUCAUAAGCCAACCGGGUUUACCUGGCGUUUGUGGUGACUCUGGAUAACUUAGUAUGAUCGCGUCGGCCUAGUUGCCGGCGACGGAUCCAUAAAAUGUCUGCCCUAUCAACUUACGAUGGUAGGUGAUAUGCCUACCAUGGUUAUGACGGGUAACGGGGAAUCAGGGUUCGAUUCCGGAGAGGGAGCCUGAGAAACGGCUACCACAUCCAAGGAAGGCAGCAGGCGCGCAAAUUACCCACUCUCAGAUAGAGGAGGUAGUAAAGACAAAUAUCGAUGCAGGACCCAUAUGAGGCUCUGUAAUCGAAAUGAGUGCAUUAUAAAUCCUACAACAAGGAUCUAUUGGAGGGCAAGUCUGGUGCCAGCAGCCGCGGUAACUCCAGCUCCAAUAGCAUAUAUUAAUAUUGCUGCAGUUAAAAAGCUCGUAGUUGGAUCUGGACAUUGGUGUGGAGGCUAUAGUGUGUGUGUAUGCAGGGGAUUCUUUGUAUGCAUGCAUGCUGUAGUAAUUUUACGCCUUGUCUAAUAGCUGUAUCUGUGUAAAAGCUUGCUUUUAUGCGGAUAUUAGCAAAUGUGAAUUGGGUUUGCAGAAAUGUAGCCUAAUUUCUUUGUUAAUAUGUACCUUCAUGCCUUUAACCGGGUGUGGGGUACGGACAGCACGUUUACUUUGAACAAAUUUGAGUGCUCAAAGCAGGCCUUGUUGCCUGAAAAGUCUUGCAUGGAAUAAUAAAAUAGGACUUCGGUUCUAUUUUGUUGGUUUAACAGAACUGAAGUAAUGAUAAAAAGAGACAGACGGGGGCAUGUGUAUGGCAGCGCGAGAGGUGAAA
Molecule: ribosomal RNA, 860 nt
Filed under: Aglaiogyrodactylus guttus
Lineage: Eukaryota; Metazoa; Platyhelminthes; Monogenea; Gyrodactylidea; Oogyrodactylidae
Description: bacterial SSU rRNA
Rfam family: Eukaryotic small subunit ribosomal RNA
Source: RNAcentral